RNAcentral lists this ribosomal RNA (496 nucleotides) under Zooxanthella nutricula. RNAcentral's name for it is "eukaryotic LSU rRNA". It matches the Rfam family "Eukaryotic large subunit ribosomal RNA", at positions 96 to 594 of the family's 3401-position model. The record is from RNAcentral. Lineage: Eukaryota; Dinophyceae; Peridiniales.
AACAAGGAUAAGCUCAGCAUGGAAAUCGGGGUCCUGGGCCCUGAAUUGUAGGCUGGAGAGGUAUUACCAGCGGAGGCGCAGAUGUAAGCCUUUUGGAAAAGAGCAUCAACGAGGGUGAGAGUCCCGCUUGUCAUCUGCAGUCCCCCGCGUACGGUCUGCCUUCCAAGAGUCACGUUCCUCGAGAUUGGAGCGCAAACUGGGUGGUAAAUUUCAUCUAAAGCUAAACAUUGGUUCGAGACCGAUAGCAAACAAGUACCAUGAGGGAAAGGUGAAAAGGACUUUGAAAAGAGAAUUAAAAGUGCCUGAAAUUGCUGAAUUCAGCGCAAGCGUGGUAGGGAGUUUUGAGCAGGACGCGCGCAGUGCUUCUUGCUCUACGUGUCAUCUGCGGCCCACAUUUGGGGAAAACUCUGGGGACAUGGUAGCCUGCCCUUGGGUGGGUGAACGUGCUCAGUUGUACCCACUUGGGUGCCGAUUGAUGACUAAAUGGUUCCUUUCG